This 501-nucleotide long non-coding RNA is filed under the name Felis catus (domestic cat). Its description in RNAcentral is "lncRNA (ENSFCAG00000047889.1)". Lineage: Eukaryota; Metazoa; Chordata; Mammalia; Carnivora; Felidae. The record is from RNAcentral.
AGGUCUUCUAAUAAAGCCACGUCUUCCAGAAAAUUUAUGUCUUCCACUAGAUCCAGGUCUUCCAACAAAUAUGUCUUCCAGAAAAUCGACGUCUUCCAGAAAAUCGAUGUCUUCCAGCAAAUCCACGUCUUCCAACAAGGCUGUGUCUUCCAGCAAAUUCAUGUCUUCCGGCCUACCCACGUCUUCCAACAAAUUUGUCUUCCAGAAAAUCCACGUCUUCCUGCAUCUCCAGGGCUUCCAGCAUCUCCAGGGCUUCCAGCAUCUGCUCGUCUUCCAGCAUCUCUGCGUCUUCCAGCAACUCCACGUCUUCCAGCAUCUCCACGUCUUCCGACAACUACCCAGUCUUCCAACAGGGGGCUCAAUAUCCACAUCUUCCAACGUCUCCAGAGUGCCGGUCUUCUAACAUUGGGUCUUCCAGUGUCUACAAUAUCCAGGAUUUACCUGUUUCUUCACAUAUCAUUGACCUCCUGGAUUCCUGACUACUGUCUUGUGUUCAACUAA